This 487-nucleotide ribosomal RNA is filed under the name Beauveria bassiana. RNAcentral's name for it is "eukaryotic LSU rRNA". The stretch from base 131 to 284 matches the Rfam family "5.8S ribosomal RNA". The record is from RNAcentral. Lineage: Eukaryota; Fungi; Ascomycota; Sordariomycetes; Hypocreales; Cordycipitaceae.
CCUACCUAUCGUUGCUUCGGCGGACUCGCCCCAGCCCGGACGCGGACUGGACCAGCGGCCCGCCGGGGACCUCAAACUCUUGUAUUCCAGCAUCUUCUGAAUACGCCGCAAGGCAAAACAAAUGAAUCAAAACUUUCAACAACGGAUCUCUUGGCUCUGGCAUCGAUGAAGAACGCAGCGAAACGCGAUAAGUAAUGUGAAUUGCAGAAUCCAGUGAAUCAUCGAAUCUUUGAACGCACAUUGCGCCCGCCAGCAUUCUGGCGGGCAUGCCUGUUCGAGCGUCAUUUCAACCCUCGACCUCCCCUUGGGGGGGUCGGCGUUGGGGACCGGCAGCACACCGCCGGCCCUGAAAUGGAGUGGCGGCCCGUCCGCGGCGACCUCUGCGUAGUAAUACAGCUCGCACCGGAACCCCGACGCGGCCACGCCGUAAAACACCCAACUUCUGAACGUUGACCUCGAAUCAGGUAGGACUACCCGCUGAACUUAA